RNAcentral lists this ribosomal RNA (254 nucleotides) under uncultured bacterium. RNAcentral's name for it is "partial 16S ribosomal RNA". It matches the Rfam family "Bacterial small subunit ribosomal RNA", at positions 524 to 777 of the family's 1533-position model. The record is from RNAcentral.
UACGAAGGGGGCUAGCGUUGUUCGGAAUCACUGGGCGUAAAGGGCGCGUAGGCGGCCGAUCAAGUCGGGGGUGAAAGCCUGUGGCUCAACCACAGAAUUGCCUUCGAUACUGUUUGGCUUGAGACCGGAAGAGGUUAGUGGAACUGCGAGUGUAGAGGUGAAAUUCGUAGAUAUUCGCAAGAACACCAGUGGCGAAGGCGGCUGACUGGUCCGGUUCUGACGCUGAGGCGCGAAAGCGUGGGGAGCAAACAGGG